AUUUGAUUUCCUUCGGGACUGAUUAUUUUGUGACUGAGUGGCGGACGGGUGAGUAACGCGUGGGUAACCUGCCUUGUACAGGGGGAUAACAGUUGGAAACGGCUGCUAAUACCGCAUAAGCGCACAGUAUCGCAUGAUGCAGUGUGAAAAACUCCGGUGGUAUAAGAUGGACCCGCGUUGGAUUAGCUAGUUGGUGAGGUAACGGCCCACCAAGGCGACGAUCCAUAGCCGACCUGAGAGGGUGACCGGCCACAUUGGGACUGAGACACGGCCCAAACUCCUACGGGAGGCAGCAGUGGGGAAUAUUGCACAAUGGGCGAAAGCCUGAUGCAGCGACGCCGCGUGAGCGAAGAAGUAUUUCGGUAUGUAAAGCUCUAUCAGCAGGGAAGAUAAUGACGGUACCUGACUAAGAAGCACCGGCUAAAUACGUGCCAGCAGCCGCGGUAAUACGUAUGGUGCAAGCGUUAUCCGGAUUUACUGGGUGUAAAGGGAGCGCAGGCGGUGCGGCAAGUCUGAUGUGAAAGCCCGGGGCUCAACCCCGGUACUGCAUUGGAAACUGUCGUACUAGAGUGUCGGGGGGGUAAGCGGAAUUCCUAGUGUAGCGGUGAAAUGCGUAGAUAUUAGGAGGAACACCAGUGGCGAAGG
Molecule: ribosomal RNA, 645 nt
Filed under: uncultured Lachnospiraceae bacterium
Lineage: Bacteria; Bacillati; Bacillota; Clostridia; Lachnospirales; Lachnospiraceae
Description: bacterial SSU rRNA
Rfam family: Bacterial small subunit ribosomal RNA
Source: RNAcentral